RNAcentral lists this ribosomal RNA (255 nucleotides) under uncultured bacterium. Its description in RNAcentral is "partial 16S ribosomal RNA". It matches the Rfam family "Bacterial small subunit ribosomal RNA", at positions 524 to 776 of the family's 1533-position model. The record is from RNAcentral.
GACAGAGGGGGCAAGCGUUGCUCGGAAUUACUGGGCGUAAAGGGCGCGUAGGCGGGGUGGCAAGUCGGUCGUGAAAUCCCUCGGCUCAACCGAGGAACGUCGAUCGAUACUGCUGUUCUUGAGGAUUGCAGAGGAGACUGGAAUUCCCGGUGUAGCGGUGAAAUGUGUAGAGAUCGGGAGGAACACCUGUGGCGAAGGCGGCCCCCUGGGCCGGCCCUGACACUGAGACGCGGAAGGCGUGGGGAGCCGAACGGG